CUACGCCAGAAGCUCCCCUAAAGAUUGUUGAUAGCUACAGAGUGGAGAGGACAAAGCUUUUACUUGAUUGAUGAUCAAUAGACAGACAACCCCACCAGCUAUUCCUUUCCUUCCCUACAUAAUAAAUACAUUGUAAAAGAAAAAUAAUAUACUCCUACUAUGUGGUAUAUAAGGCCUCACUUCCUGUUUUUGAGCAGAAAUAGUGGGGGAGAGAGAAGAGAGGAGAGCACUUUUUUAUCCUCCAAGCUAUACAGUCCCUUGCUUGUUUCAGCUUUAUAUUUAUUCUCUACCUGCUUUCAACAUCUUCUGAAAAAUCUCCUGUGGCUGUGGCUGUGGCUGUGGCUGUGUGCCUGUGUGCCUGUGAAAAAGAUGCCCCUCCCUCCCUCAUGUGCCCUCUUCUCUCUUUCUUUUAUGUUUAAACCGAAUAACUUUGCCAGAUUUGUAGAGAUCUUCUAUCGCUUUCUAGCUCUUCUCUGACUCUCAUGAGGACUGCGAUCUUUCCUCUUCCCUGCCUUUAUUGCAGCUCCUAAAAAAAUAAAAUAAAAUAAAAAGACAUUGCAGCUGAAGCUGAUCACCGUGGAAGCACUGGAUGCUUUAUAGGUCAAUUUUCAUGCACGGCCAAUCUCCAUGGAGCUAUAUGGUGUCGCAGAAAACCGCUUUGAGAAACUGAUCUUUAGGUUUUAUAUAAGGUUGACAUCUUGAUGGAAACUUUAGUGUUAUUGCAGGGUGAAAAAAGAAAUGGGUGGAUGGAUCUCUGAUUGCCAUAAAAUUAAGAAUCACCAGGCUGGUUGAUAGCAUUGACAGCCGCCGUGGCAUCAGAUUCAAUCACCACGUGCUGGUCUGCAAACUGCUCCGCAAACCUUACUGCUUUCUAUAAUAGCCACGGCCUCUUCGUCAACGGCUGAUCAGCACCUGAACGACGGCACUUUGCCACCCACAAUCUGCCCACUGGAGUUCCUACAAAACCAUGCAAAUACAUGUUGGCUCAGAUCCAUUGAUGAAGGAGGCAUCACAGUUAUUAUUGGCAGUACCCUGAUUUGGUAGGUCUAUCUGGAUGGUCAAUCUGCACCAUGCCUUUUUUAGCGGACUUCUGCCCAAACAAUUGUGGAAUUUAU
Molecule: long non-coding RNA, 1115 nt
Organism: Populus euphratica (Euphrates poplar)
Lineage: Eukaryota; Viridiplantae; Streptophyta; Magnoliopsida; Malpighiales; Salicaceae
Exons: 4
Source: RefSeq, a predicted model, not a curated record